Molecule: ribosomal RNA, 434 nt
Filed under: uncultured Chlamydiae bacterium
Lineage: Bacteria; Pseudomonadati; Chlamydiota; Chlamydiia
Description: bacterial SSU rRNA
Rfam family: Bacterial small subunit ribosomal RNA
Source: RNAcentral
AACGCGAAGAACCUUACCUAGGCUUGACAUGCAUCUCUAAGCGCGUGAAAGCGCGUGACCCCUCGGGGGAUUUGCACAGGUGCUGCAUGGCCGUCGUCAGCUCGUGUCGUGAGAUGUUGGGUUAAGUCCCGCAACGAGCGCAACCCUUAUCGUUAGUUGCCAACAGGUAAUGCUGGGAACUCUAGCGAGACUGCCUGGGUUAACCAGGAGGAAGGUGAGGAUGACGUCAAGUCCGCAUGACCCUUAUGUCUGGGGCUACACACGUGCUACAAUGGUCGGUACAGAAGGCAGCGAAACCGCGAGGUGAAGCAAAUCCCAAAAGCCGACCCCAGUUCAGAUUGUAGUCUGCAACUCGACUACAUGAAGAUGGAAUUGCUAGUAAUGGCGAGUCAGCAACAUCGCCGUGAAUACGUUCCCGGGUCUUGUACACACCG